CUUGAUAAUGGAGUGAUUAGUAAGUUUGUUCUUACACCUAUUGAUACAGGAUAAUAUCUUACUUUAUCAACAAUGUAUUAUUUUCAAAGUUAGAUGUACGACUUCUAAUUUUGUUGAUUCAUUUCAAAUUGUAGCCAACAUUAGGUCUUGCUGGGAAUAAAUCUUAAACGAGAGAUAAUUCAUUAUCUUGACCCAGUGGCGGUAGACAUUAGUAUGAGGCAAGAUUUGAAGAAAUUGUUUGACAUGUUAUACAAACCUAUCGAGCUUAAACAAGAUUCAUGGUUUCAAAGUCUAAGUCAAACAAUAUCAAGUGGACAACAAUUAAGGUACAUUAAUCUAGUAUGUUUUGUGCAAUAUAGUUUUGACUAUGAUAAUUAAAUUGUUGAAUGACUUUUAGUUCACGUUAUGUCUGCUUACAUUGUAUUGGUUAGGUGAAUAACUUAUAUUCUUGAAUGGUUGAAGACUUAUUUCCUGGUUGUCUGAUAUUAGUUAGUUAAAUGACUUGUAUUAUUGGGAAACUGGUUGGAGGAGUAUACGGGUGUAAUGAAAAUAUGACUUAAGAGUUUAAACUUGUAUAUGAUAUAUAGUUAUUUGUUAUCAUGCACUAGAUCUGUUUGGAGUAUACUAG
Molecule: small RNA, 628 nt
Filed under: Vigna angularis var. angularis
Lineage: Eukaryota; Viridiplantae; Streptophyta; Magnoliopsida; Fabales; Fabaceae
Description: Non-protein coding transcript
Source: RNAcentral